This is a long non-coding RNA of Erigeron canadensis, 368 nucleotides long. RefSeq lists it as uncharacterized. The record is from RefSeq and is a predicted model, not a curated record. The transcript is spliced from 2 exons. Lineage: Eukaryota; Viridiplantae; Streptophyta; Magnoliopsida; Asterales; Asteraceae.
AAUCAUAUGUGAACUCAAAGAAGUUCACUUUUGAUUUUUGUCUCCAUGUCGUCCAUUAGUAUGAGAAGCGUUUCAACUGUCUUGAUAUUCAUCAUCGUUGCUAUUUUCAUUGUGCAACUAGCUUUGAUUAAUGCAGAUCAAGGUGGGGAUGAGUUCAGAACCGAUCGAUAUGAUCCAAGAACACCACCAGCACCACAGGGAAACUUGAAUCAUGGCAUGAUUCCUCCUGAUUCGAGCCCGCCACCACCAAUUUAUACUUAAAUCUUGUCGUGUUUACGAAUUUCAAAACUUAUAUACCUACAAUAUUGGAUACAUUUUGUGUGUUUAAAUUUGAAUAUGCCAACAAAAAGAAUACAUUGUGGUUGUUA